ACCCAAUCCUGACACAGGGAGGUAGUGACAAGAAAUAACAAAGCAAGCCCUUAGGGGCGCUGCGUUGGAAUGAGUAGAAUUUAAAUCUCUUUACGACUAUCGAUUGGAGGGCAAGUCUGGUGCCAGCAGCCGCGGUAAUUCCAGCUCCAAUAGCGUAUAUUAAAGUUGUUGCGGUUAAAAAGCUCGUAGUUGGAUUUCUGUUGAGGUCGGGCGGUGUGCACCUCGUGCAUUAUUUGCUUCGGUCUCGGCAUCCUCCUGGGGAACGUUUAGGACUUUAUUGGACUAGGCGAGAUUCAGGACUUUUACUUUGAGGAAAUUAGAGUGUUCACGGCAAGCAAGCGCGGGAAUACAUUAGCAUGGAAUAAUAAUAUAGGACCUUCGUUCUAUUUUGUUGGUUUCUAGAACUUAGGUAAUGAUUAAUAGGGACAAUUGGGGGCAUUCGUAUUAACGCGUCAGAGGUGGAAUUCUUGGAUUGCGUUACGACGAACUACUGCGAAAGCAUUUGCCAAAGAUGUUUUCAUUGAUCAAGAACGAAAGUAUGGGGAUCGAAGACGCUUAGAUACCGUCGUAGUCUAUACCAUAAACUAUGCCAACUAGAGAUCGGUGGGGUUAUCCUAUGUGGCUCCAUCGGCAUCUUAUGAGAAAUCAAAGUUUUUGGGUUCCGGGGGGAGUAUGGUCGCAAGGCUGAAACUUAAAGGAAUUGACGGAAGGGCACCACCAGGAGUGGAGCCUGCGGCUUAAUUUGACUCAACACGGGAAAACUCACCAGGUCCAGACAUAGUAAGGA
This 787-nucleotide ribosomal RNA is filed under the name uncultured marine Syndiniales. RNAcentral describes it as "SSU rRNA". It matches the Rfam family "Eukaryotic small subunit ribosomal RNA", at positions 443 to 1239 of the family's 1831-position model. The record is from RNAcentral. Lineage: Eukaryota; Dinophyceae; Syndiniales.